AGGCGGGCGCUCUAGGUUGCAUGUCCCAGAAGCCCCCGAGGCACCUGGGUCAAGAAGGCGGGGUUAGUGGGGUAUAAGGAGGAAGGUCGCGCAGUGAGAGGGCAGCGAGACAAAGAUAGGGACCCGGACGGCUGCUUGGGAGAUGCUUCAGGAUGAGGGAGAAUGGCGAACUCUUGUCUCAAAACUCAUUCCCUCCGGAAGACCGAGGAAAACUCCAGCGGUCCUCAGCCACACCAGAACAAAAAGCAGUGUCCAGAGUUCCUGCUCCCAUUGAAAGUGUAGUCUUUUGGGAACCGCGGGUGCCGCUGAGCAGUCACCUAGGCGGCGCAGCUUGCUCCUGGCCACGGUCCUGUUUCAGACUCCCCUGUGGAAACCGCUGGGGCUGAAGGCCAGACUGCUUCCAGGUUCACAAGUUUCCUCUAAAACUCAUCAGCUAGUAAGUUCUCCAGACGAGGCUGUUGUGCUGAACACCACUGGGAAACCUGUCCCUGAUGCUGAGUCAGACCACUGGAACUGUGCCUGAUUAAAUCUCACAGAGCUCUCUCUACCUCUGCUUCAAAGAGCAGAUCUGCCUGCGAUGGAUCCCUGCUGUUGUCUGGAAACAAAGCUCUCUGGGCUGUGGGGAGCAUGGGAUGAAAGCAGGUAAGGGCAAAUACUGCAGUCAUUUUUAAGAGGCAGCUUUGUCUUUUAGGGUGACAGAGCCUGGGUAAAACCUGACUGAAAUUAACAUGGAGUUUCAAACACAUUUCUGUGGGGAAUAAAUGUACCCCCCCCCCAAAUGAAAAUCAAGACAUGCAAGAAUUCAGGAUGAUGGUGUCUUUGGCUUGGGGAAAAUUGCAGUUCUAGGUAGGGAUAUGUGAGUUAUUGGCAAAGUUCUAGUUUUUAUGUAGGGAGGAGUCAAAGAAGGAUAUUACUAUUUUUAUAAGAAUACAGCAUGGCACCCUGGCUGGUGUGGUUCAGUGGAUUAAGCACCAGCUUGUGAGCAGAAAGCUGGCCCAAUGGGUUCCCACUUGGGGGCCUGUGAAGGGCAACCAAUUGAUGUGUGCUGGCUGUUUCUCCUCUCUUUGACUCUGUCUAAAAAUAAUCUUUAAAAAAAAAUUUUUUAAUGCUUUAUGUUGCCCUGGCUGGUGUGGCUUAGUGGAUUGAGUGCCAGCCUGUAAACCAGAAGUUCGCCCGUUCAAUUUCUAGUCAGGGCACAUGCCUGGGUUGCAGGCCAGGUUCCCAGUUGGGGAUGUGCAAGAGACAACCAAUCAGUAUAUCCUUGGUUGUACAAUGUAAACAUUGAUGUUUCUCUCCCCGUUUCUCCCUCCC
Long non-coding RNA from Phyllostomus hastatus (greater spear-nosed bat), 1311 nucleotides. RefSeq lists it as uncharacterized. The record is from RefSeq and is a predicted model, not a curated record. NCBI's taxonomy places the organism in Eukaryota, Metazoa, Chordata, Mammalia, Chiroptera, Phyllostomidae. The transcript is spliced from 3 exons.